This 398-nucleotide ribosomal RNA is filed under the name uncultured bacterium. RNAcentral describes it as "bacterial SSU rRNA". It matches the Rfam family "Bacterial small subunit ribosomal RNA", at positions 29 to 433 of the family's 1533-position model. The record is from RNAcentral.
AUUGAACGCUGGCGGCAUGCCUUACACAUGCAAGUCGAGCGGCAGCGCGGGGGCAACCCUGGCGGCGAGCGGCGUACGGGUGAGUAAUGCAUCGGAACGUGUCCUCUUGUGGGGGAUAACCAGUCGAAAGACUGGCUAAUACCGCAUGAGAUCGCAAGAUGAAAGCAGGGGACCCGCAAGGGCCCUGCGCGAGAGGAGCGGCCGAUGCCCGAUAGCUAGUUGGCGGGGUAAAAGCCCACCAAGGCGACGAUCGGUAGCUGGUCUGAGAGGACGACCAGCCACACUGGGACUGAGACACGGCCCAGACUCCUACGGGAGGCAGCAGUGGGGAAUUUUGGACAAUGGGGCAACCCUGAUCAGCCAUGCCGCGUGUGUGAAGAAGGCCUGGUUGUAAGUAC